Molecule: non-coding RNA, 216 nt
Organism: Macaca mulatta (Rhesus monkey)
Lineage: Eukaryota; Metazoa; Chordata; Mammalia; Primates; Cercopithecidae
Source: Rfam
UGGCGCCCGAACAGGGACCUGGAAACGAGGGACUCCGUGAGGAAGAGGACGCCAAAGGACGGUCGACCGCUAACGAAGACAAAAGGAGUCAAACUUUUCCGAUCACUGCGGGAACCUGCCGCGUCAGAAUCGAAGGUAAGUGACGCGUCCGAAAUGGGACAAGAAUUAAGCCAACAUCAAAUAUAUGUAGGACAAUUAAAAGAGGCUUUAAAGAUA